UACGAAGGUCCCGAGCGUUGUUCGGAUUUACUGGGCGUAAAGCGUCUGUAGGCGGCGCGGCAAGUCAGAUGUGAAAGCCCGGGGCUCAACCCCGGAACUGCAUCCGAUACUGCCGUGCUUGAGGAUCGGAGGGGAGUCUGGAAUUCACGGUGUAGCAGUGAAAUGCGUAGAUAUCGUGAGGAACACUAGUGGCGAAGGCGAGACUCUGGACGAUUCCUGACGCUGAGAGACGAAGGCCAGGGGAGCAAAAAGG
Molecule: ribosomal RNA, 253 nt
Filed under: uncultured bacterium
Lineage: Bacteria
Description: partial 16S ribosomal RNA
Rfam family: Bacterial small subunit ribosomal RNA
Source: RNAcentral